CCAACCUAAAGCAAUGGGAACUAUGAAUGUAAUUCCUUAAAAAACUGAAAACUAGAGAUAGACAGUUUCAUGAACAGCCAGACUCAAGACUGGAGGAUAAGCAGAGUGUUGCUACUAAAAAGGAACAUGCAGGAAACCAGUUUUCCUUCUGACUGCCUACAGACCAUGAGGAAAUUCUACUCUGCUCCUUACCAAGCAUUCCAGGCUUUGCUACUUGCAUCAGUGAUGGCUUGGUGUAGAAAGAAAAGCCAACAAGCUCCAGAGUAUUCACCAGAAAUUCUGCCCUACUCAAGUCAGGAUGCAAUACUUGCCUUAGUAAUUUUCUCCCUCUUGUCCUUUCUGCCCAAUGUGAAUCUACAAUGUUUGAAGGAUGCAAGCCCUGUGUAUGAACAGGAGGCAACCUCUUGUUUGUGUGAUGAGAAACAUAAUUUUGAGGAACUUGGUAGGUUCUUGAAAAGACAGAAUGGAAACAGAAUCUCAUUUCCUCUUUCUUUGGCAUCCAUUUUUGGUUACUUAUUAAUUCUAAGGAAAGAGUAACAUUGGAGAAAAGCAUUAAAUGGGAGACACUCAACACUGGCUUUUCUUCUGUAACUCUGAAGUGCAAUGGUUAAUUGAUGGCCAGACCUGUGAAUGUGACUAUAUGACUGAGAUGCGUAGGGGUAAUGACAUGAGUUUGGAAAACUACUUUCAGAGGCAAAUAAAGAGUAUUACAUACAUUGCA
RNAcentral lists this long non-coding RNA (721 nucleotides) under Calidris pygmaea (Spoon-billed sandpiper). Its description in RNAcentral is "lncRNA (ENSCPGG00000013932.1)". The record is from RNAcentral. Lineage: Eukaryota; Metazoa; Chordata; Aves; Charadriiformes; Scolopacidae.